UACCGAGGUGGCAAGCGUUGUUCGGAAUUACUGGGCGUAAAGGGCGCGUAGGCGGCCAUCUAAGUCAGACGUGAAAUCCCCCGGCUUAACCUGGGAACUGCGUCUGAUACUGGACGGCUUGAGUAUGGGAGAGGGAUGUAGAAUUCCAGGUGUAGCGGUGAAAUGCGUAGAUAUCUGGAGGAAUACCGGUGGCGAAGGCGGCAUCCUGGACCAUUACUGACGCUGAGGCGCGAAAGCUAGGGGAGCAAACGGG
Molecule: ribosomal RNA, 253 nt
Filed under: uncultured bacterium
Lineage: Bacteria
Description: partial 16S ribosomal RNA
Rfam family: Bacterial small subunit ribosomal RNA
Source: RNAcentral